Long non-coding RNA from Numida meleagris (helmeted guineafowl), 1719 nucleotides. Lineage: Eukaryota; Metazoa; Chordata; Aves; Galliformes; Numididae. The record is from Ensembl.
AUGAACAUAGGAGAUUGCAGAAGGCUUUUAAAUUUGUCGCUCAGUCUGCUUAUGCAAGCAAACAACAGGCAGGACCCUGAAAAGGCCAGCUUUCCAGGUGUUGUAGAAGUUCAAAGGAAGAUGCAAAUCUUGUUGUCUCCUUACUUAAGACAAGGAAGAACAAUCGAGUUCUGCUAGCAAUAAGCCUAAUCCUUCAAUCUUAAGCAAGAAAAAGUCCUUCCUCAAAUUUAUCUCUGUGACUGAACAGCAUUUCUGUGAGCAAGAGCCAGCGGAUCUAGUCUCAAACCCUUUGAAAGAGCUGAUCUGACUUGGCACUCCGCUUCUUUGUCAUCUUAGCAGAGACUGUAAUUGCAAGCAAAGGCUUUCUGGGACCAUCUGACUUCUCCAAGUGAGGAAAAUAGCCAAAUCUGUUUUAUUGAAAGCAGAACGAUAUCCUUUGGAGAUUACUGAACAAUAUCAUGUUUUUGACAUUUAGCUCUUCUCUUUUUCAUCUAGGAAAGUAGCAACAACUGCAAAUGCAUCCAAAAGCCAGGAAAGGUUUUUUUUUUCACGAGGGAUUGUAGGGUUUUCUUGCUGCACACGUCUUGGUUUUGUAUGCUAAUCUCCGUGACAGAGUGUGCUUGAUUCUCCUCCCAUUCAUAUCAGUGACAAAACUCCCACAGAUUUUAGCUGGAACAGCAUCAAACCCUAUUUUGCUGAUAGUUUGAAAGAAAAAUCAUAUUUUGUUAUAUCUCAUUUAUAAUUCUUGGCCCCUUUCCUUCAGAGCCUCUGUCUAGAAGCAUGAAGACCUUGUGGAGUCUUAAUUUAUGAUAUUUGUCUUACUGUCACAGCAAUAGAUUACAAUGUCAAAGUCCAAAGGACAGUAUUGUUACAACUUAGAAACAGUCCUUGUGAAAGAAUACUGCUAUUUCACUGAAGGUACGUGACAAGUCAUGAGAAAUGGUGGGAAGAUAGUACAUGUCUGAACAUCUGCCUUUGCAGGUGUUUUCUUCUCCUCCUUUGGUCUUCAGAAAUCACUGAACUAUUGCUCUGUGCCUAAUACUUCCUUGGGGAAAAUGUUCCAAAUGCUGUGCCGGAGGAGCCAGAAUCUGGCACAGCUCAAAUCUGUUACCUAAAUGUCAAAUUGCAUCUCCUGUUGUUGUACUUUUUUUCUGUCAUUCAUCAUGGUUCCUGCAGGGAAUCUAGCUUCAACUUUAAGUACUAGAAGGAACAUCUGUAAGUGCUCCAUCACAGUAAAAGGCACCAGCCUGUAAUUCACAUUUGCAAGGCAAGCAGUGUGCAGAAAGGCUCUUGCACCCUUUGCUCAGUGUACUUCAAAAAUUCGUAUGUAGCUCAAAGGAGAUAAAUUCAUAGAUGAAGUGUACGUGCGAGUUAUGGCAGCUUAAUGUUUCUUCUGGAAAACAGUUCCACAGGAAUAUCUAAACAAUACCUUUCAUUCUCAAACUAGACUGCCAGUCUGAGCUCUAUUAGCCUAAUGAGUAUGAAUGCUAUGCUCAAGUUUUUCCAUACAGAGAAUUCUUUGAAAGGUGGUUAGCGUGAGGAGAAUAGAUUUUCCUAAUUAGCACUAACUGGGAAUAAUGACUGUAUGUGCCUUGAUUUAGCAGAAUGGCUACAUCAGGGUAAGGUAAAAAGUGAUCAUGGUCAUAGUCUGAGCAGUGCUUGGAGAAGGUUGUUUGCAAACUCUGUUUCAGUGUUUUUUGUGCUAGAAUAAAACUGACU